AGUCAUUCAGUAAAACACCAUGUCAAAGGGAUUUGCUUCACCCCAAAACUUUCAUAGCAUUUUUAUUAUCUAUGGUGGUCUAUCUAUAGAAAAUAUUGGUUUGGGACUCUGAAAAACAAUUCAAUCCCCCUCCCCAGAUAUGACAUUCUAUUGUGUACUUUAUGGAGAUCAGAUCUUAUGUUUCGACAAAAAAUGUAUAUAAACUAAAUAAAAGAUGAUUUGAAUAUGGUUAAAAAAGAUCCAAAUGUAGCCUUUUCUCCUGCAAUAUGUGUUCAUGGCGUACACCAGGCUGCAUGUUAACCGUGCAUGGUGCUUGAUCGAAGCUCAGCAAAAAUGGAACAAUGAAGCAACGCUGGCUAUAUGUUAGCCUAAUCAUCUCCCAAGCUUAAUGCCCUUUAAGAUUGGUGUUUCAGUGGUUUGACUCGGAGCCGCCCGAGUCGAACCAGGACCAACAGGUCCCGGUCCGAUUUUAUCUGGACUCAGCAAUGUAGGCCU
Molecule: long non-coding RNA, 495 nt
Filed under: Amborella trichopoda
Lineage: Eukaryota; Viridiplantae; Streptophyta; Magnoliopsida; Amborellales; Amborellaceae
Description: long non-coding RNA (ATRI_LNC002922)
Source: RNAcentral